CCUACGGGAGGCAGCAGUAGGGAAUUUUCCACAAUGGGGGAAACCCUGAUGCAGCGACGCCGCGUGAGUGAAGAAGGUUUUCGGUAUGUAAAGCUCUAUUAGCAGGGAAGAAAAUGUCGGUAACUGACUAUGCACCCCCUGAUAAUUACGUGCCAGCAGCCGCGGUAAUACGUAGUGGCCAAGCGUUCUCCGGUUUUACUGGGGGUAAAGGGAGCGGAGACGGGAGUAUAUGACUCGGGUGAAAGGCCGGGGCUUAACCCCGGAUGUGCAUUGGAAACUGGGCAACGAGAGUGCAGGAGAGGAAAGUGGAAGUCCAAGUGUAGCGGUGAAAUGCGUAGAUAUAUGGAGGAACACCAGUGGCGAAGGCGACUUACUGGACUGUAACUGACGUUGAGGUUCGAAAGCGUGGGGAGCAAACAGGAUUAGAUACCCGAGUAGUC
This 440-nucleotide ribosomal RNA is filed under the name uncultured bacterium. Its description in RNAcentral is "partial 16S ribosomal RNA". It matches the Rfam family "Bacterial small subunit ribosomal RNA", at positions 338 to 795 of the family's 1533-position model. The record is from RNAcentral.